GAUGAACGCUGGCGGCGUGCCUAAUACAUGCAAGUCGAACGAAACUUCUUUAUCACCGAGUGCUUGCACUCACCGAUAAAGAGUUGAGUGGCGAACGGGUGAGUAACACGUGGGCAACCUGCCCAAAAGAGGGGGAUAACACUUGGAAACAGGUGCUAAUACCGCAUAACCAUAGUUACCGCAUGGUAACUAUGUAAAAGGUGGCUAUACUACCGCUUUUGGAUGGGCCCGCGGCGCAUUAGCUAGUUGGUAGGGUAAAGGCUUACCAAGGCAAUGAUGCGUAGCCGAAUUGAGAGGUUGAUCGGCCACAUUGGGACUGAGACACGGCCCAAACUCCUACGGGAGGCAGCAGUAGGGAAUCUUCCGCAAUGGGCGAAAGCCUGAUGGAGCAACGCCGCGUGGGUGAAGAAGGUCUUCGGAUCGUAAAGCCCUGUUGUUAGAGAAGAAAGUGCGUGAGAGUAACUGUUCACGUUUCGACGGUAUCUAACCAGAAAGCCACGGCUAACUACGUG
Molecule: ribosomal RNA, 512 nt
Filed under: uncultured bacterium
Lineage: Bacteria
Description: partial 16S ribosomal RNA
Rfam family: Bacterial small subunit ribosomal RNA
Source: RNAcentral